Molecule: ribosomal RNA, 206 nt
Filed under: uncultured bacterium
Lineage: Bacteria
Description: partial 16S ribosomal RNA
Rfam family: Bacterial small subunit ribosomal RNA
Source: RNAcentral
UCGGAUUGAAGGCUGAAAUUCGCCUUCAUGAAGCUGGAAUUGCUAGUAAUGGCAGGUCAGCAUACUGCCGUGAAUACGUUCCCGGGUCUUGUACACACCGCCCGUCACACCAUGGGAGUUGGAAAUGCCCGAAGCCUGUGAGCUAACGAAAGAGGCAGCAGUCGAAGGUAGAAUCAAUGAUUGGGGUGAAGUCGUAACAAGGUACC